AUUGAACGCUGGCGGAAUGCUUUACACAUGCAAGUCGAACGGCAGCACGGAGAGCUUGCUCUCUGGUGGCGAGUGGCGUACGGGUGAGUAAUAUAUCGGAACGUGUCCAAUAAUGGGGGAUAACGAGUCGAAAGAUUCGCUAAUACCGCAUACGCCCUAUGGGGGAAAGCAGGGGAUCGUAAGACCUUGCGUUAAUGGAGCGGCCGAUAUGUGAUUAGCUAGUUGGUGAGGUAAAGGCUCACCAAGGCGACGAUCAGUAGCUGGUUUGAGCGGACGACCAGCCACACUGGAACUGAGGCACGGUCCAGAAUAAUACUGGAGGCAGCAGUGGGGAAUUUUGGACAAUGUGGGCAACCCUGAUCCAGCCAUUCCGCGUGAGUGAAGAAGGUCUUCGGGUUGUAAAGCUCUUUCGCAAGGGAAGAAAACUUAUGAUCGAGUAAAUCAUGAGGUUGACGGUACCUUGAUAAGAAGCACCGGCUAACUACGUGCCAGCAGCCGCCGUAA
This 504-nucleotide ribosomal RNA is filed under the name uncultured bacterium. Its description in RNAcentral is "partial 16S ribosomal RNA". It matches the Rfam family "Bacterial small subunit ribosomal RNA", at positions 30 to 523 of the family's 1533-position model. The record is from RNAcentral.